This 967-nucleotide ribosomal RNA is filed under the name Marphysa californica. RNAcentral's name for it is "partial 16S ribosomal RNA". It matches the Rfam family "Bacterial large subunit ribosomal RNA", at positions 703 to 2613 of the family's 2925-position model. The record is from RNAcentral. Lineage: Eukaryota; Metazoa; Annelida; Polychaeta; Eunicida; Eunicidae.
UAAUUCUCCUUCCCGAAAUUUAGUGAGCUGAUUUUUAUUUGCUAAGAGCCCAAUAUUUAAUGUUGCAAUAUUAUUAUUAAAAUAUCCAUCAGAAGCUACAUACCUAUCGCACUAAAUUAUAGCUGGUUUUUCAGCCCCCAGUCUAAUCUGCUCAAGCUGCUAAACUAACCCUCUCACCAGCUAUGAAAAGAAACUAAGGACAAGCUCAGUUUCUUCCUUUAUUUAAAAUAAAUUAUUAUUCUACGUAGGCCUAAUAUCAGCCACCAUAAUACUACGUCAUAGUACUAAAAAUAAAAUUCCACACAAAUAUUUUCCCCCUGAAAUAGUCUAUAAAAUAAAAAAUAAACCAAACUAUGCAAAGAUCAAUAUUUUAGUCCUAAUUUUACUCUUUUCCCCCAUACAUAAAUAAGGAACUCGGCAACCCUUUAUUCCGACUGUUUAACAAAAACAUUGCCUAUAGUAUCUUCAUUAUAGGUACACCCUGCCCAGUGUUAUUAUAAACGGCCGCGGUACCCUGACCGUGCAAAGGUAGCAUAAUAAUUUGCCUUUUAAUUGAAGGCUGGCAUGAAAGGGCAAACGAGAAUAAACCUGUCUCAUUUAUGCUCAUAAAAAUUUAUCUUCAGGUGAAGAAGCCUGAAUUUAUAUAAAAGACAAGAAGACCCCGUCGAGCUUUAGUUUAAUAUAUGACCCUGCCCUCCUACUAUAUUUCUCCCCAUAUAAAAACUUUUGUUGGGGCGACAAUGGAAUAUAUUAAUCUUCCAACAUACCCCAGACUUUAUGUCACCCAAAUGACCCUUCACUGAUCACAAGAACUAGCUACCGCAGGGAUAACAGACUAAUCUUCCUCCGGAGCCCAAAUCUACAGGAAGGCUUGGCACCUCGAUGUUGGCUUAGGAACAUCCCCUAGAUGAAGCAGUCUAGGAAGUGGGUUUGUUCAACCCUUAAUAUCCUACAUGAGCUGAGUUCA